Molecule: non-coding RNA, 21 nt
Filed under: Arabidopsis thaliana (thale cress)
Lineage: Eukaryota; Viridiplantae; Streptophyta; Magnoliopsida; Brassicales; Brassicaceae
Source: RNAcentral
UGAGAUUCAGCCCUUUGUCGC